AUACGGACGCCUCCCCCUGCUCUAAUACAGUAACCUCAGGGCAAGAUGAUCGAGAGAUCUGAUUCUCUGUUUUUCCAUCAGUCCGCUCACUGUACACAUCGAUCUCUCUUUGCUCUAUGUGGAUCGGAUCAUAACAUGUUGAUUCUUCAUAGGUAUCUCGCCUUCUCCAAGUACAGAGGUCUUAAAGGACGUAAAUUUUCAGAGAAUUUCAGUUGAUGAUUAUGGAGAGCAUUGUCAUUGGAAGGAAGGGCCUUCUUUGUGUGCGUGUUGGGAAAGGCUCUACUGCAAAAUGAAGCUUUUUUUCAACAGCUUCUUUUACUACCCAAACCUUUUCGCUGCUGUUAACGAUGGUGGGGGAUCUGGCAACAAUUUUGCUAGUUUUGCCAGUUUUGCGGCACCACCACCCACCACCAAUCUGCGCGUUGGGACAUGGAGGCGCGGUGGUGUGAGGGCCUACUACCGUUUUCACGGCGGAAUUUGCGAUGGAUUUUGUGGAUUAGCUUUUCGUAAUACUGUAGACUACACCGUGGCUCGUCCGCUACAACUGUUUGAUGCUUUGGAUCCGAUUAACUUUCAGAUGACAAAUUGACAAUUGAUCAUGGUGGCUUUGUGAACAUUCCGAUGAUCGAACCAUCAUGUCUGCCGGAGGAGGCAAGCAGUGGAAUCGGCGUGUUCUUACCGGCAUAUCUGAGGAGGAUCCGUGGUAGAAAAGCAUGAUCUUGCAACAAGAUUUACCUCUUCUUGCUCAACUUUUUCAAAGAUUUGUAUUUCAAAGGCGCAGAGUUCUCUUCACCUAGCUUCAUUUGGGGAUGAAGAAGCUUUGAUCGGAGACGAUGAUGAAUUCAGCUCAAAAUCCAACUUCUUCUGCCAAUCAUCAGUGGAUCUAGGAAACCUGCAGAAGGAUUCUGGUUAGCGUCUCCUGGAUCUGAAGAUUCAUCAUCUUCAUCCACAUGCAUUGCUCGAACUGGAUCAACUUUCAUGCACCUCAAUAGAUGUUGUUUCCCCUACAUCAACCCUGUAGGGAAAGUGAAAUUGUGAAGGAGUUUUAGAUCGCUCCAUCCACAAGAUUUAAAUGUUGGAGAUAGUAUCUUCUGGGAGAUUUUUGUGCUUUGAAGAGCUGGGCUGAUUAUUCAACCUAGGAGUGCUUUGUAGCGUCUCCUGGAUUUAAAUGUUGUAGAUAAUGUUUUCAUUUUUGUUUACUUCUUCAUUGUUGUACGUUUUGUUGGUUCUCUUAGUAAGAUGUAUUGAUAA
Molecule: long non-coding RNA, 1251 nt
Organism: Helianthus annuus (common sunflower)
Lineage: Eukaryota; Viridiplantae; Streptophyta; Magnoliopsida; Asterales; Asteraceae
Exons: 7
Source: RefSeq, a predicted model, not a curated record